This 973-nucleotide long non-coding RNA is filed under the name Homo sapiens (human). RNAcentral's name for it is "HSALNT0210879". Lineage: Eukaryota; Metazoa; Chordata; Mammalia; Primates; Hominidae. The record is from RNAcentral.
CCCAAGUGAGCAAGGACGAAAUGAAUGGAGCAAGGACCUAGAGAAAGUGAGAAGCUAAAGGAUGAGGAGCCCAGAUGGGGCGUCCUUACUCCCAGUCUUUCCAGAUGUUCUUCCCACUCCUCAACUGCUCCUGGCUCAGAAACCCUGCACACCUGGAAGAAAGUGAGAACCAGUUUUUCAACAAACACAUUGCACAGACUUAUUGUGAACCCCGGGUGGAAUCAAGCAUCGGAGGAAGAGAACGUGGGUCUUGCUGUGUCCCUAGGCUGGAGUGCAGUGGUGCAGUCUCAAUUAUGCCAGAUGGCUCUGAGGUCCAAGUAAAAGAUAAUAUUUGCAACCAACUCACUGGAGUUGACCAUCAAAACUCUUUUCCAGGUGGAAAAGCACCCUGAAUCCAGCUUCCUGCUAUGAAUGAAUACUGAGCUUGGGUUGGUGGAAAUUGAUUUUCGAGAUAAAGAAUCCAGCCAGGACUGUGAAGCCCCAGGGAAUGGCUGCACUUCAAGUCAGAAGGAGCCUGGGUCCCUGAAUCAUCAUGUGGAAGGCUCUCCACCCAGUUCAAUGGUGCAAUGGACCACAAGCAGGAACUUAAUUUAGAAUGUGCUUAUUUUGUUAGAUUUUGUAAUUAAAAAAUGGAUCCCACUCUGACUGAAUCAGAGAUGUUGAAGUCAUUGAUCUGGGAGGGUAUGUUCCUGGGAGUGGGUGGCUGAGGUGAGAUUUCAAACAAGGUUGUUGAGGAAGAGGAGUUCAAGUGACUGAGAGGACAUAUUGUUGGAUAAAUUGUGCGUGCGUGUGUGUGUGUGUGUGUGUGUGUGUUGAAAUCACCAAGAAUAGGGAAAGAAGUGUAUAAGAGAGUGUGGCAGUGAGCCCAGAGCUAAAAGAAAUCAUGAGCAGGGAGUAAUUCACGAGCAGAAAGUAGAAGCAACGAGAGGCAGUUAAUGAGAGAAGCAGCUGAGGGAUUUUAGCAAGGGAUGGG